UACGUAGGGUGCAAGCGUUGUCCGGAAUUAUUGGGCGUAAAGCGUGCGUAGGCGGUCAUUCAAGUCUGGUGUUAAAGCUAGAGGCUCAACCUCUGUGUUGCACUGGAAACUGGAUGACUUGAGUGCGGUAGGGGAAGGUAGAAUUCCGAGUGUAGCGGUGAAAUGCGUAGAUAUUCGGAAGAAUACCGGUGGCGAAGGCGACCUUCUGGGCCGCAACUGACGCUGAGGCACGAAAGCGUGGGGAGCAAACGGG
This 253-nucleotide ribosomal RNA is filed under the name uncultured bacterium. RNAcentral's name for it is "partial 16S ribosomal RNA". It matches the Rfam family "Bacterial small subunit ribosomal RNA", at positions 524 to 776 of the family's 1533-position model. The record is from RNAcentral.